RNAcentral lists this ribosomal RNA (200 nucleotides) under uncultured Glomus. RNAcentral's name for it is "partial small subunit ribosomal RNA". It matches the Rfam family "Eukaryotic small subunit ribosomal RNA", at positions 591 to 789 of the family's 1831-position model. Lineage: Eukaryota; Fungi; Glomeromycota; Glomeromycetes; Glomerales; Glomeraceae. RNAcentral also lists the same sequence under 1 other name. The record is from RNAcentral.
CCAAUAGCGUAUAUUAAAGUUGUUGCAGUUAAAAAGCUCGUAGUUGAAUUUCGGGAUUGACACAUCGGUCGUGCCUUAAGGGGUAUGAACUGGUGUAGUCAAUUUCUCACCUUCUGGAGAACCGCGAUGCCCUUAAUUGGGUGUCACGGGGAACCAGGACCUUUACUUUGAAAAAAUUAGAGUGUUUAAAGCAGGCAUUU